This is a non-coding RNA of Jatropha curcas, 109 nucleotides long. The record is from Rfam. NCBI's taxonomy places the organism in Eukaryota, Viridiplantae, Streptophyta, Magnoliopsida, Malpighiales, Euphorbiaceae.
GUAUUGGCGGAUGCAGCACCAUCAAGAUUCACAACUCCACGGCGGAGCUACGGUGGCCCUUUCUUAUAUAUGAAUAUGAGAAUCUUGAUGAUGCUGCAUCAGCAAAUAU